AACGCACCUUGCGCUCUUUGGUAUUCCGAAGAGCAUGCCUGUUUGAGUGUCAGUAAAUUUAUCAACCUUUCUAACUUGUUUAGUAAGGAUUGGAAUAUGGGGGUGUUGCAGGCUUGUAAUAAAGUUGGCUCCCCUUAAAAGUAUUAGUGAGGCCUAUGUUGCCCAUCACUGGUGUGAUAAUUAUCUACGCCAUUGAAGGUCUUCAAUUUUAAAAGGACUUGCUUAUAACUGUCUCAUUAGAGACAAUCUGACAAAUUUGACCUCAAAUCAGGUAGGACUACCCGCUGAACUUAA
This 294-nucleotide unclassified non-coding RNA is filed under the name uncultured Agaricales. RNAcentral describes it as "sequence contains 5.8S rRNA gene, ITS2, 28S rRNA gene". The stretch from base 1 to 52 matches the Rfam family "5.8S ribosomal RNA", at positions 103 to 154 of the family's 154-position model. Lineage: Eukaryota; Fungi; Basidiomycota; Agaricomycetes; Agaricales. The record is from RNAcentral.